This 237-nucleotide long non-coding RNA is filed under the name Musa acuminata (dwarf banana). Its description in RNAcentral is "long non-coding RNA (MACU_LNC009209)". The record is from RNAcentral. Lineage: Eukaryota; Viridiplantae; Streptophyta; Magnoliopsida; Zingiberales; Musaceae.
CUAUACGCAGUUUUGUGUUUUACGGAUUUUUGCGCACCAAUCUUCGCACGACGACGAACAUCUUUUUGAGAAUCGGGGAUUUUUGUUUUCUUGUUCUUCCGCUGCGCAUAUGAUGUCGCCCCCCAUUGAUUUCCCAACAAAGAGUUCGGGUGCUUUAGUAUAGAUAUCUGAUCUUCUACUUCAUAGAAAUAAGUGAUUGAUUCUAAGUCAUAGAGAGAGGGAGUUGCAAGCAAGUUC